GAUGAACGCUGGCGGCGUGCCUAAUACAUGCAAGUCGAGCGAACGGAUGAGAAGCUUGCUUCUCUGAUGUUAGCGGCGGACGGGUGAGUAACACGUGGAUAACCUACCUAUAAGACUGGGAUAACUUCGGGAAACCGGAGCUAAUACCGGAUAAUAUUUUGAACCGCAUGGUUCAAAAGUGAAAGACGGUCUUGCUGUCACUUAUAGAUGGAUCCGCGCUGCAUUAGCUAGUUGGUAAGGUAACGGCUUACCAAGGCAACGAUGCAUAGCCGACCUGAGAGGGUGAUCGGCCACACUGGAACUGAGACACGGUCCAGACUCCUACGGGAGGCAGCAGUAGGGAAUCUUCCGCAAUGGGCGAAAGCCUGACGGAGCAACGCCGCGUGAGUGAUGAAGGUCUUCGGAUCGUAAAACUCUGUUAUUAGGGAAGAACAUAUGUGUAAGUAACUGUGCACAUCUUGACGGUACCUAAUCAGAAAGCCACGGCUAACUACGUGCCAGCAGCCGCAGUAAUACGUAGGUGGCAAGCGUUAUCCGGAAUUAUUGGGCGUAAAGCGCGCGUAGGCGGUUUUUUAAGCCUGAUGUGAAAGCCCACGGCUCAACCGUGGAGGGUCAUUGGAAACUGGAAAACUUGAGUGCAGAAGAGGAAAGUGGAAUUCCAUGUGUAGCGGUGAAAUGCGCAGAGAUAUGGAGGAACACCAGUGGCGAAGGCGACUUUCUAGUCUGUAACUGACGCUGAUGUGCGAAAGCGUGGGGAUCAAACAGG
This 766-nucleotide ribosomal RNA is filed under the name Staphylococcus aureus. RNAcentral's name for it is "bacterial SSU rRNA". It matches the Rfam family "Bacterial small subunit ribosomal RNA", at positions 28 to 776 of the family's 1533-position model. The record is from RNAcentral. Lineage: Bacteria; Bacillati; Bacillota; Bacilli; Caryophanales; Staphylococcaceae.